GAAUGGCCCUGAGUGGGACUCGGCCCAGAAGCCGAGGGACUCUCUAGGCUGCCGGGCGCUGGUCGUCAGCGCCGAGGCUGGGCUGAGGCGCCGCGGUACCAUGAGGCGCCGGUACUUAAGAGAUUAUGGCAUCAGAAACCCACAAUGUUAAAAAACGGAACUUUUGUAAUAAGAUUGAGGAUCAUUUCAUUGAUCUUCCUAGAAAAAAGAUCUCUAAUUUCACUAAUAAGAACAUGAAGGAGGUUAAGAAAUCUCCAAAACAGUUGGCUGCUUACAUAAAUAGAACAGUUGGACAAACUGUGAAAAGCCCAGAUAAACUUCGUAAAGUGAUCUAUCGCAGAAAGAAAGUUCAUCAUCCCUUUCCAAAUCCUUGUUACAGAAAAAAACAGUCCCCUGGAAGUGGGGGCUGUGACAUGGCAAAUAAAGAAAAUGAACUGGCUUGUGCAGGCCACCUGCCUGAAAAAUUACACCAUGAUAGUCGAACAUAUUUGGUUAACUCCAGUGAUUCUGGUUCUUCACAGACAGAAAGCCCAUCAUCAAAAUAUAGUGGGUUUUUUUCUGAGGUUUCUCAGGACCAUGAAACAAUGGCCCAAGUUUUGUUCAGCAGGAAUAUGAGAUUGAAUGUAGCUUUAACUUUCUGGAGAAAGAGAAGUAUAAGUGAACUUGUAGCUUAUUUGUUGAGGUAAGUGUGACCUUUUAUCCUCUUUGUUCAAUCACUUUUUUUCUGAGACAAGUUCUUGCUUUGUCAUCCAAGUUGGAGUACAGUGGCACAAUCAUGGCUCACUGCAGCCUCAACCUGCUGAGUUCAAGCAGCCCUCCCACCUCAGCCUCCUGAGUAGCUGAGAGUACAGGUGCACAUCACCACACCUGGCUAUUUUUUAAAAAAAUUUUUUGGAAGACAUGAGGUCUUAUGUUUCCCGGGCU
Molecule: long non-coding RNA, 924 nt
Filed under: Homo sapiens (human)
Lineage: Eukaryota; Metazoa; Chordata; Mammalia; Primates; Hominidae
Description: non-protein coding lnc-KATNBL1-1:4
Source: RNAcentral